Molecule: ribosomal RNA, 160 nt
Filed under: foliar endophyte of Picea glauca sp. A10
Lineage: Eukaryota; Fungi; Ascomycota
Description: 5.8S ribosomal RNA
Rfam family: 5.8S ribosomal RNA
About the family: 5.8S ribosomal RNA (5.8S rRNA) is a component of the large subunit of the eukaryotic ribosome. It is transcribed by RNA polymerase I as part of the 45S precursor that also contains 18S and 28S rRNA. Functionally, it is thought that 5.8S rRNA may be involved in ribosome translocation.
Source: RNAcentral
UUAAAACUUUUAACAACGGAUCUCUUGGUUCUGGCAUCGAUGAAGAACGCAGCGAAAUGCGAUAAGUAAUGUGAAUUGCAGAAUUCAGUGAAUCAUCGAAUCUUUGAACGCACAUUGCGCCCCCUGGUAUUCCGGGGGGCAUGCCUGUUCGAGCGUCAUU